Molecule: ribosomal RNA, 311 nt
Filed under: uncultured bacterium
Lineage: Bacteria
Description: bacterial SSU rRNA
Rfam family: Bacterial small subunit ribosomal RNA
Source: RNAcentral
GACGAACGCUGGCGGCGCGCCUAACACAUGCAAGUCGAACGAGCGAGAGAGAGCUUGCUUUCUCGAGCGAGUGGCGAACGGGUGAGUAACGCGUGAGGAACCUGCCUCAAAGAGGGGGACAACAGUUGGAAACGACUGCUAAUACCGCAUAAGCCCACGACCCGGCAUCGGGUUGAGGGAAAAGGCGCAAUCCGCUUUGAGAUGGCCUCGCGUCCGAUUAGCUGGUUGGUGAGGUAACGGCCCACCAAGGCAACGAUCGGUAGCCGGACUGAGGGGUUGAACGGCCACAUUGGGACUGAGACACGGCCCAG